UCGGAGAAGACGAGGCACGACCACUGUGACGUCACAUCCCUUAAUAAUUAUAUUUUUACACUAUACACGUUUCACAACUAUAAUUUGAACACCUGUGUGCCAUAAAUAAAUAUAUUUUUACACUAUACACAAGUGAAUCAUGUUGUGUCAUUUACAUGACGGGUAAAUUAAAUGAACAUGUCUUGAUUAGGUACGACAUACUUUGGACAAGGAAGAGACCUGCAGAUAAAUAACACAAUUAAACAAACAAGUACUGAAAUAUAAGUGUUCCGCAUUAAGCUUGCUAGUAAGGAAAAUAUCAGGAGAUGGCUUGCUAGCUUUCACCUCUAGAUCACCCCCAUGGCAACUUGAUACAUCAGAGCAAGAAAACAUUCCCCAAUGGUUACAAACCUUCGGUGCAAAAUGACAUUCAUGGGAUCUGAAGACAUCACUAAGAAAUAUCAGGUUCUAUAUGAGUCUGACUUAUUAAAGAACAGAGAGCAAUGAAGAAAAGUGCAGUACAUUAAAUCAAGGCCAAAUGAUACAUUGCAUGCAUCAGCGAGCAGAAAAAUAAAUGGUGUCUAAUAUUAUAUUUUCCCCUUCCAAUAGAGAGACUCCUUCUAUAUGUUUAACCAGUGAUAAUUCCGGUUACACCAAAUAAACAUAGUUCUAAAUGCUACCAACAUUUUUUAUGAAACAAAGGACAACCAAAAUUAACUCCCCUCGCAUGGAAACUUGAUGUCCUUUCAAUUCUGAAAUUCCACCAAAGGUAAGCAUACAAUAAUUUUAUAGUGUAUAAUUAUACAAAAGAAGAACAUGUUACGUGUGUAGAUAGCGCAAGGUGGCAUAUUAUCAUUGAGAGCAUAUAUUAGCACAUAGUGUGAUGAAAAUUGGAACCAUAUGUACUGUCAGCAUGUCUUUCUCCUUAUUCUGUAUAUCAUCAUUUCCUCUACACUUGACAUGAUAGCUUGAGAAAAAAAAGAUGAGUAUCCAGAUAUGUACAUAGUUAUGGCUAGAUUCCUUGUUUUGUCCAAGAAAGAUAAGUCAUGAGCCCAUCAUCUUAUUACAGCAAGGCACAUCUCUAUCAGUGGUGCAAGAGGUGUAAAUUUUAUAUUUUCUUUUCAAGAAAAAACUCCUGGCAAUAUUAAACAUCAUGAUGUAACAAAUUAAAAAUAUUAGUGUUAACAUAGGUUAAUAUCUAUUACUUAUGUGUGGUGUAGUUCAAUAAACCCUGAAAAAAAAUUGAAUUAUUCCUAAUUAUCACCAUUAGAUCUAGGUCAAUAAAAGUUGUAGUCACAGCCUGAGCCAGAACUUUGGAUUGAGAAGGGAUUGGGAAACCCUCAAAGGAAGGAAGAAGCUCACCAAAACACAGUUACAGGCCCCAACUAUCUCAACCUUGCGCACAAAAUGGCUUAAUGACUCAUAUGGGAUCAACAAGAGUGCCAGUCGCGUAAAGCUUGUUCAGAUUGCCAAGGCCGUCCACCUGAGAGCAAGACAAAAACUUAAAAUUAGGAGUCCGAAUGUGGUUAGACAAGCUAUACUAAUUUCAUUUUGAUUUUGAUCCGACAUGUGCAUUAAACAGAGCAUGGACCACGAUUGAACAGAGCAACCACUGCAAAAUAAAUGUAUAACAAGAGCUGGCAGCAUCAACAUGUAAUAGGCAUGUAUAUUUAUCUACGGGUUUUGUCGCUAGUGAACGCAUACAGUUGCAAUUGCACUUAUGCAACCUAAAGGCGAAAGAAAAAAACCACUUGUUAACUCAAAAGACUGAAAAAGUCGUAACAAAAGAAGAAAAAAACAGCCUUCCUAAGUUCUCUAGUUGGGUGAAAAAAAAACAGCUAUUCUAAAAGUGAGCACCAGAUUCCAGUAUGUAUCAUGCAGUUUUCUGUAUAUGGUUCACACAUGAAAAAGGGAUUUUGGCCAGUGCUAGGACAUGGCAUUUGUUGCCUGAUAAAAGAUUAGUUCAUGCUAUCUUCAGGACAAAGUGAGCACGUGAGUUACCAGACGAGAAGGGGAGGCCAUGAGUAAAGGUGGACUGAAACUUCUUGCUCGCUUGGAGCUUCAUGAAUCUGAUCCAUAGAAAAUUAUGUAAUCAUUUGAAAUUAGUAUACUAAAAAAAUUGAAGGUACAUUGCAGAAACGACACAUUAGCAAAAUUGAGUAAUGCAAAACCGAACCCACCAUAGGAGAAGCAUAGAAAAAAAAUCAUCUUCUGAACCCACCUACAGAUCCAAUUUAUAUGCAUCAUGCCAUGGAAUUACCGAAUGCAUGGCCGCAGCCGCUGGCUGCAAUGUCGACCCAAUGGUGCUUGUCUGGGCGAAGUACAAGGCCAUUGGGCUCGUCGCCCGGGAGUUCUGCAACCCACAUCAGUUUCUAUGACUAUAGUUUCUACUAUUGUACUCUUUGUAGUUUUUAAUGCAUAAAUUAAUCUAAUGUUGGGAGCUUUCCAAGGACUAACUAAGACAAUCAGAAUCGGAGAGGAGAGUUUCUCAACAAAAAAAGAAUUAGAGGAGAGUCAACUAACCUUCCUUUCUUGCUUCGUCACCCCCUCAUGGGUUAUGAGCUAUGACCACCAUGAUGCCGGCCGUGCGUCCGAGCACCUGUGGUCUGUACAUCGACGACCUGCCCUUUUCUCAUUUUUUGGUCACCGAAGAGUUCGAUCGAUCAGAAACAUGGAAGGGCGAGAGUAGUCAUGUUCCUGCCCUAUGUGUGUUUUCUUUGCGCGAAAGUUCCUGUUUCAGUCAGAGAGGUAGAACAAUCAGAAAAUGAGAAGGUCUUUCACUUCCUUACAGAAUGAAAUUUCUGUCUUGCAAGUUUACAAAGUCAUCAAGUUAAGCACUUACGAUAAAAUUAUCUGACUCAGAAAGCUGAUAUCACUCAUACAAAAAAACAUGUUAUACAAUAUUGAGUUUUGACAUAGCUAUCAUAAUAGAUCUAUGCAAAAAUGUUCAGGUGCACGCAGGACAGCUAUACAAUUUUAGCAAGAAUAACAAUUUUACAUGAAAAAUGCCUGCAAGCCUAAAAGCCCAUUAUGUAAUUCCAGUACUGAAUCAUUCAGGCCCUUGUAAUGUUAUUUGAGAUUAGGUUCAUAAUAUUUGAAGGUGCGUGGUAAAGAAAGGAAAAUAACAUUACUUCCAAUGAAAUACUCUCCACAUUGUUCGUACUUGCAUUACUAUCAUGUUGGCAUGGACAUUGACAGACUGAAUCAAUUAGCUUGUAAAAUUUAUGAAUAGAUUCGGUUCUCUUCCUCUUCAUGUCUACAUGGAUGAAUCUGAAAUAUUCUAAUUAGUUUCUAUAAUUAGUUCCUAUGGCUAUAGUUUCUACUAUUGUACUCUUUAUAGUUUUUAAUGCAUAAAUUAAUCUAAUGUUGGGAGAUUUCCAAGGACUAACUAAGACAACCAGAAUUGGAGAGGAGAGUUUCUCAGCAAAAAAAGGAAUUAGAGGAGAGUCAACUAACCUUCCUUUCUUGCUUGGUCACCACCUCAUGGGUUAUGAGUUAUGACGACCAUGAUGCCGGCCGUGCGUCCGAGCACCUGUGGUCUGUACAUCGACGGCCUGCCUUUUUCUCAUUUUCUGGUCACCGAAGAGUUCGAUCGAUCAAAAACUUGGAAGGGGAAGAGUAGUCAUGUUCCUGCCCUGUGUGUGUUUUCUUUGCGCAAAAGUUCCUNNNNNNNNNNACUGAAUCAAUUAGCCUGUAAAAUUUAUGAAUAGAUUCGGUUCUCUUCCUCUUCAUGUCUACAUGGAUGAAUCUGAAAUAUUCUAAUUAGUUUCUAUAAUUAGUUCCUAUGGCUAUAGUUUCUACUAUUGUACUCUUUAUAGUUUUUAAUGCAUAAAUUAAUCUAAUGUUGGGAGAUUUCCAAGGACUAACUAAGACAACCAGAAUUGGAGAGGAGAGUUUCUCAGCAAAAAAAGGAAUUAGAGGAGAGUCAACUAACCUUCCUUUCUUGCUUGGUCACCACCUCAUGGGUUAUGAGUUAUGACGACCAUGAUGCCGGCCGUGCGUCCGAGCACCUGUGGUCUGUACAUCGACGGCCUGCCUUUUUCUCAUUUUCUGGUCACCGAAGAGUUCGAUCGAUCAAAAACUUGGAAGGGGAAGAGUAGUCAUGUUCCUGCCCUGUGUGUGUUUUCUUUGCGCAAAAGUUCCUGUUUCAGUCAGAGAGGUAGAACUCUGUGUCAGCAGUUGUCUUGUCACUGCAAUUUUAAAUGACCGGCAAUAAAGGUUGCUGCUUAAUUUUAGAAUGCCGUAAGUUUUCCACCUGUAGGUGUAGCAGCUAACAACUUUGAACCAUACUGAAUAAAGGAGUCAAAAUGGAAUACUUUUUGACCUCACAAUGCCUAUGAAUUUCAAGUAGCCAUUAUUUAAACACCAGACACAUUGUCCAUGCAAAAAGAGGUGAAAAAAAAUCAAAUCUGAACUGAACUUGACAGAAUUCAUAAGUUGUAUAGCUGACAAUGGGCCAUCAUAUACAACAAGAUAUAGUAAGCAAUGCAACAACACACAUGUACAAAGGGGUGAAAAUGCCUAAUUGGUACUUUAAUUUAACACAUCGAAUCAUUGAGUGGUGCUAGGUCUAGUUACACAUACAGAGUUUAACAUCAAGUGGCUAAGUUAGCAAUGUCUAGCACGAAGUUAGGCAUGUGACCUUCAUGGGAAGAACUGGACAUACCGGGCCAUACCAACCUGCUUCUUCCCCCCUCUGCGCUAGCUCCAAGAUGCAUGUCUCGUCCUGGUGGAUUAACCGCGACCUCGACCACUUCGAUCCGCCGAUGCUCGGCACCGCUACCAAGAACCACCAAUCAGUCCUUGCUUGUGUCCAUGGUGAAGAUGAAGUCGCAGAAUGCAGAUCUUGGCUAACCCACCGACCACGCACACAUGCGUUGGCACGGCGCUCCGGGCGUGGCCCGACUUGUGCAGCGCGCUGAACCUUCCUCGCACGGUUCCUACACCUGCCAAGGCCAGCAGCGCGUGCCCGCACUUCCUCGGCUCUGCUUGUUCUUGUGCCUAGCCGUAAACAUCAUCAGGUGUGUAAC
This 5009-nucleotide long non-coding RNA is filed under the name Triticum aestivum (bread wheat). Its description in RNAcentral is "long non-coding RNA (TAES_LNC000574)". The record is from RNAcentral. Lineage: Eukaryota; Viridiplantae; Streptophyta; Magnoliopsida; Poales; Poaceae.